UACGAAGGGGGCUAGCGUUGUUCGGAAUUACUGGGCGUAAAGCGCGCGCAGGCGGUUCUACAAGUCAGUGGUGAAAGCCCGGAGCUCAACUCCGGAACUGCCAUUGAAACUGCAGAACUUGAGGAUGAGAGAGGUGAGUGGAAUUCCCAGUGUAGAGGUGAAAUUCGUAGAUAUUGGGAAGAACACCAGUGGCGAAGGCGACUUACUGGACACAUAUUGACGCUGAGGUGCGAAAGCGUGGGGAGCAAACAGG
Molecule: ribosomal RNA, 253 nt
Filed under: uncultured bacterium
Lineage: Bacteria
Description: partial 16S ribosomal RNA
Rfam family: Bacterial small subunit ribosomal RNA
Source: RNAcentral